Molecule: ribosomal RNA, 440 nt
Filed under: uncultured bacterium
Lineage: Bacteria
Description: partial 16S ribosomal RNA
Rfam family: Bacterial small subunit ribosomal RNA
Source: RNAcentral
CCUUCUUUGUUCCUCCUUGGGGCAUCUUGCACAAUGGGGGAAACCCUGAUGCAGCGACGCCGCGUGAGCGAAGAAGUAUUUCGGUAUGUAAAGCUCUAUCAGCAGGGAAGAAAAUGACGGUACCUGAGUAAGAAGCUCCGGCUAAAUACGUGCCAGCAGCCGCGGUAAUACGUAUGGAGCAAGCGUUAUCCGGAUUUACUGGGCGUAAAGGGAGCGUAGGCGGCCUGCCAAGUCUGAUGUGAAAUACCGGGGCUCAACCCCGGGGCUGCAUUGGAAACUGGCAGGCUGGAGUGCCGGAGAGGCAGGCGGAAUUCCUAGUGUAGCGGUGAAAUGCGUAGAUAUUAGGAGGAACACCAGUGGCGAAGGCGGCCUGCUGGACGGUGACUGACGCUGAGGCUCGAAAGCGUGGGGAGCAAACAGGAUUAGAUACCCCUGUAGUC